CUUUGGUGGGGCUAAUGGCAGACUCUGGGAGGGCUCACGCCAAGGAGUACUUCCCAGAACUUCUGCUGCCAGUGUCCUUGUCUUCACAGUGAGGCACAGCCACCCCCUGCCUCUGCGGGAGACCCUCCAACACCAGCAGAACUUCUGGCACGGUGUGAGACAGGCAGCAAGUGUGCAGGAAACAGCUGCCAGACUGAAGGACAGAGAGUCAGCAGAGUUGGUCAUCAUUCCAAAAUGAAAAUGGACAGCCAAGGCAGCAAGGAGGGCUCAUGACAAGUAACACAGAUGAGAACGGGAAGGGAGAGGACAACAGAAGAGAUGAUCAUCACCAAACUGGGAAAGAUGCACUGGAGUUUAUAAAUAUAGAUGCCACACAGCACACUGUGCACCAGCCUUGUCAAAUAAGUAGGCCU
Molecule: long non-coding RNA, 413 nt
Organism: Balaenoptera acutorostrata (minke whale)
Lineage: Eukaryota; Metazoa; Chordata; Mammalia; Artiodactyla; Balaenopteridae
Exons: 3
Source: RefSeq, a predicted model, not a curated record